ACCAUCAGACUGGACUUGGGACCUAACACCGCAGUGACAAGUUUUGAUUCAACAGCAGCAGGCGAUGGAGGUGGGCGCCAGGCAAAGGCUCCUGCUGACUGAGCGGACGCAGCCGGGACACAGAGCCUGGGUGAUGUGUAGACCUCAAACUUCUCUUGCUGUGAGGAUUUGAAGUCAAAGGGCGGACAGGACAGCUGCCUGUUAUUACCCGGCACACCAGGAAGUGAUUUGCUGCCAAAGAGAAGAGAGGAGGAGAGGGAUUAGCGUGCUCACGCCACACAGACGGACCUCUUGCACCUGGAAGAAACUGAGGCAGAGAGGAGUGUGACAACCAUGCCAGGAAUCGAGUCACAAGCCAUGGAGAGCCCCGCAAGCCGUCUUCCUGACUCCACAGGCUGCUAGCCCAACAGCUAUCCCACAGCUUGUGGAAGGCUUCCCUGAGGUGCCGCUGUGUGGUUUGGAAUAAGCGUGUUGAAUUAGAUCCACCAUAACUAAGCCACCAUUCAAUGCCACGAUGUCUUACCAUGUCCCCUUGGGAGACACGGCAGCAUGGUAGUUUGGAUCUAGGAUCAAAUGCUGCUCAAUUUACUUACUCCACAGAAUAAUAGAGCCCCAACCCUGCCUGUUUGCAAAGGGGUGGCUUGUCGUUCAUUUACCCACUCAUUCACCCCUCGAGGGAGCACAGGCCACUGAGGCUAUUCUGUGGGCUUCUGAAAUGGAUGCAGGCAAAACCAGAGUUCCUUUUAAAUGACCAUGAAAUAAAAAGAUGGUCACAUCAUUUUUGGAACGAAACCUAGAGAUAGAAGAUGAUCUUUCCUUCCACUCCCUCAGCUUGCUGUCCCUGGGCCCCCAUUCCCACAGAAGGAGGUGUGGGUUGCGGCUGCUAGCCUGCUAAUUCUGAACACCCAUGCGCUGGAAUUUGGAAGGAAUGUGUGCAGUGCUCAAUACAAAGCUCAUUUGGCCUCAGGGACCAUUUUAAUUAAAUUAAUUAUCUCUAGAAGAAACGCUUAAAGCUGUUUAGGCCUGAACAAUAGGUACUUGUUCUCAGCUCUAAUACGAGCCCGUGGUUCAGAGCAUCCUUUUGGCGAGUUGAGGACAAUAUCUUACCAGAUACUUAAAAAGGCAUACACCCCACACUCUGUCGUGCUGACAGAUGCCCGUGCACACCUACAAACACACUCUCCUUGGUCGUUCCUCCCAGCCUUCGCUGUUGGUCUGUCUUGCAUUCUCAAUAGUCCCUAGGAUCAUCUUCCGCUCUUUGGAAAGAAGAAGAAAAAAAAAAGGCGGAAGGGCGAAUGCAGCAUCCCUGAGGCACUGGGGAGCAUCACCUCUGCAGCCGGUGCCCCUCCUGCCGCCUGCCCCACUCACGCACCCUUCAAGAGCACCAGGCUGAUCGUCAACUGGAUCGAGGCCAAAGAAAGGAGUGGCUCGCUCCUGUCAUUCUUGGGUCCUUUUUGCAAUGGCAAAGCAAGGAAUCGAAAUAAACUAGCCUCCUUCAUCGCA
Molecule: long non-coding RNA, 1503 nt
Organism: Peromyscus leucopus (white-footed mouse)
Lineage: Eukaryota; Metazoa; Chordata; Mammalia; Rodentia; Cricetidae
Exons: 3
Source: RefSeq, a predicted model, not a curated record